GUCGAGAAUCUUUCACAAUGGGGGCAACCCUGAUGGAGCGACGCCGCGUGGAGGAUAAGGUCUUCGGAUUAUAAACUCCUGUCAUGCGUGAACAAGGUUGCUUGGUUAAUACCUGGGCAAAUUGAUGGUAACGCAAGAGGAAGAGACGGCUAACUCUGUGCCAGCAGCCGCGGUAAUACAGAGGUCUCAAGCGUUGUUCGGAAUCACUGGGCGUAAAGGGUGCGUAGGUGGCGUGGUAAGUCAGAUGUGAAAGCCCGGGGCUCAACCUCGGAACUGCAUCCGAUACUGCCAUGCUAGAGUACUGGAGAGGUGACUAGAAUUCUCGGUGUAGCAGUGAAAUGCGUAGAUAUCGAGAGGAAUACCAAAGGCGUAGGCAGGUCACUGGACAGUUACUGACACUGAGGCACGAAGGCCAGGGGAGCGAACGGGAUUAGAUACCCCUGUAGUCC
Molecule: ribosomal RNA, 449 nt
Filed under: uncultured bacterium
Lineage: Bacteria
Description: partial 16S ribosomal RNA
Rfam family: Bacterial small subunit ribosomal RNA
Source: RNAcentral